GUUUAACGCCGUUGACCUUUUAUCACAUGUUUGACCGUUCGUCUUAUUCAAAAAAUUUAAAUAAUUAUUAAUUCUUUUUCUAUCAUUUGAUUCAUUGUUAAAUAUAUUUUUAUGUAUGCAUAUAAUUUUACAUAUCUCACAAAAGUUUUUGAAUAAGACGAACGGUCAAACAUGUGCUAAAAAGUUAACGGUGUCAAAUAUU
Oryza sativa Japonica Group (Japanese rice) is the source of this 202-nucleotide microRNA precursor. It matches the Rfam family "MIR812 microRNA precursor family". The record is from Rfam. Lineage: Eukaryota; Viridiplantae; Streptophyta; Magnoliopsida; Poales; Poaceae.